This 253-nucleotide ribosomal RNA is filed under the name uncultured bacterium. RNAcentral's name for it is "partial 16S ribosomal RNA". It matches the Rfam family "Bacterial small subunit ribosomal RNA", at positions 524 to 776 of the family's 1533-position model. The record is from RNAcentral.
UACGGAGGGUGCAAGCGUUAUCCGGAUUCACUGGGUUUAAAGGGUGCGUAGGUGGGUUGGUAAGUCAGUGGUGAAAUCUCCAGGCUUAACUUGGAAACUGCCAUUGAUACUAUCAAUCUUGAAUACCGUGGAGGUCAGCGGAAUAUGUCAUGUAGCGGUGAAAUGCUUAGAUAUGACAUAGAACACCGAUUGCGUAGGCAGCUCACUAAACUGUAACUGACGCUGAGGCACGAAAGCGUGGGGAGCAAACAGG